CCCUAAAAUAUUUUCAUGCGUUCGUUUCUGCUUAAUUGUAAUAUAUUUAUUAUAUAACUAAUAAUAUAUGUAACUAUAAGUUACAAAAUAAAAAUACUAUAAUUUUUAUAUUAUAAUAUUAUAUAUUUGGGGUCCCAAAUAUAUUUGGGACUCCUCACAAAAAUAUAAUUGAAAAAUCACAUAAAGUUUAAUCACAAAAGAUCAUAAUAUGUAUGACGUACUGUAGUUUAAAUUAAAUUAAUAGCAACUGUAAAUAUGACCUAAGUUUAAGUAUGUAAAUACAUUGAACAACAAUUUUGGGCUCUUAUGCAUAAAGCUACAGAGUAGGUGGUAGCCGUGGCAUACACUGCAUACCCCAUGUGCACGCUUAUGUCAAUAAAUUUAAAUUAUGCACGGUGUAUAAACGAAUAGAAGAUUCCUAAAAUUGUCGAUUGACAAUAAUUAAUCACGAAACAAUAAAAGGUAGACUAGUUGAAACGACGGUGUUCACAAUACCACCGAUUUAUGAUAAAACCGAGAGUCUUAACAGUUGUUAGUUAUUAGUAUAUAUUGUAUACCCAGUAAACUAACUAAGACACCUACCUGGUUAGUUCACCGAUUAAUAACGGCUGUUUGUGAUUUCUCACAUAAUCGAUCUACUAUACUAUAUAAUACUGUUAAAUAAUAAAUAUAUAAUCGUUUUUGCGGAGAGUUUUCCGGCGUGGCUUACAACUGCAUAAUAAUACCGUAGUUGCAGCAGGUGGGCGGUUACGCGUGUGCCGUCGUCAGGUAUCUGUUGCUGCAUGUGUACGUGACGUUACCGUUGUAGUAAUGGGUGCGAUUUUUAACUUCGGUCACCUAGACCUAUGAGGAGAUUUGUAUAUGUGACACUCAUACAGCUAGAUAACCAAAGAGAAAAACCAGCUACCCGGUUAGUGGUGUAGGUACGCGUCGAAACGAUUCUGCACGGCACGUUCGACGUUAUGGCACAGGGUGUCUGGGCGUCUGGAGGUCACAAUCCGUAUUGUUUCGAGUAGACGCAGCCGUUGGUAGUGUAUAACACAGUAUAUUAACAUAAAUCAUUAUUACAAAACCUGACGGAUAUACCUGCAAAUGUCUGAAGAAAAUUACGCGUGUAACCUGUAGUGGUAGAUCUGAACAACUUAUUUAAGGGGGAGGGGAGUCAAAUAACACUUACUAGACACAGUAACUGAAAAACAUAUUUCGGGAGAGAGGCGAGUAUCAAAAAAGUGUAUAUGAAUGCGUUCAUAAUUUUUAUGGACACCUUGUCUCACAGGUACUUGUAUACAUUUUAAUUCAAAUGCCAAACGAUUUUCUUUAAAAAAGUCUAAGGACGCCUCGUCGUAACCCCCCUCCCCUUACAAAUUCGUCACCGCAUAAUGUAUAGAUAUUGUCUACACGUUUUCUGUUAAUAACGGUUGUAAAUUUGACAUUUUUAACUAAAUAUAGUGUAUCUAGGUAACAUUACCUACCUAUACGGCUGAUAACGGCCACAAAAGUAUAAUAUUUUAUUCUAACGGUAGAAACAUCGAUACAUAAUAAUAAUAAUAAUAAUAAAAAAAAAAAAAAAAUGUUUACUGUUAUAUAUUAUUGUUCAGUGAUGUAUCAGUUUUGCCCGAGUAGUUUUGCUCGAUGCUUUUGACGUCCCGCCGCCUUCUAAUGGACCGUCAUCCGUUUGAAUACUCCAUUCGGUAUCGGACGAAAAGCAUUUUUCUGACCAUACUGAAACGUCGCUCGGGCGGUUUGCGCAUAUAUUACGGAUCGGCGCGCGUGUUCACAGUAUAGGCAUACACGUUAUAAUAAUACACUCACUGCUAUUAUUAUUACGGCUUUCCAAAUGUUUCUUUAACGACAAAAUAAACAAAGGAAUCAUGGACAAUAUAUAAUGUACCUACGUUGCCCAUGGCGGCGAGUGUGCUGUGCAGGUCGUCGUCGUUGUCGUCGGUUUAGAAAUGUCCUAAAAUCCCUCCUCGCCCCGCCCCGCCGAAACCCGACCGGUUAACGAGAUUCAUAAAUGCGAUGAUAUUGAAAAUAAUAUUACUAAUACUAACACUACAAAAAAUAUUAUAUAGGCUGUUAUAUAAUAAUAAUGUUUAGGUAGGGUAACGCAGGUGCAUCAUGAUGCAGGUAGGCAUUCACUGCAGCAGUAGUUCCAUACGUUUAUAUUCGUUAUAAUAUUAAAUUUUAAUCCGUAGGAUCGCUGGGCCGUCCGUUGUUGAGCAAAAAUACAUAGUUUGACAGUGCACAGUGACGUGACCACGGGUAGGGAGGUCAGGGGGCUUAUCUUCUCUCCCACCAUUGGAUUUUCAACACAACAAUGUGUAUAUAUUUAGUAAUUCAAUACUGAAAUCUAUAGGUUUCAGUCAAGCUAGAAGGAAAAGUCUGAUCUAUUGAUUAAAACUUGGUUUUUCCAGCUUUUUAACUCCCAUUAUUGAGUUGUUAAUAGAAGAAGAUUCUACGAUAUGAUUAAUAUUAAUAUUUGCUACAUCCCCUUCAAUUGGAAAUUUUCUGUGGCACGCCACUGCCUAUGCGAUUAUUGUAUAUUUUAUUUAAGGCGGGUCUACAUGGACAAUAAUAUUAUAAUAAGUAUCAUAUUUUGGAAAAUGUUCCUUAUCCAUAUACAUUAUUAUCAUUGUGGAUAUUAUUAGUUUGAUAUAAACAAUUUAUAGGUAUGGCAGAACUAUUUAAUUUAAAUGUUUAUAAAUAAUAUAUUAUGAAAAUAAAUGCGGUCUUUUUUAAAAUAUUAAACGGAAUUUAAAAAUUAUAAAUUAUCAAUU
This 2777-nucleotide long non-coding RNA is filed under the name Cinara cedri. Lineage: Eukaryota; Metazoa; Arthropoda; Insecta; Hemiptera; Aphididae. The record is from RNAcentral.